RNA transcript from Arachis duranensis, 1699 nucleotides. It is a transcript of the gene named transcription initiation factor TFIID subunit 4b, with no coding region annotated. The transcript is spliced from 7 exons. The record is from RefSeq and is a predicted model, not a curated record. Lineage: Eukaryota; Viridiplantae; Streptophyta; Magnoliopsida; Fabales; Fabaceae.
GAGGUUUGUGUGACUGCCCUAAUUUGCCUGUGGAACAGCGGUUCUUUAGCAAAUUUGGCGGUUUUAAAUGGCAGUAUCUCAUUAUCUGCUUCACUAAUAUAAAAAGUUAAAAAUCUAACUCUUAUAUUUUACUAAUAAACAUUGUGCUAAUGAAUCUAUGGAAACUCCAUCACAAUGUGAGAACCAUCGCAGUGUGAGAUCUACGAUCUCAUCCACGGUACUCUCUUUUGGCGACUGGCGGCAAUCUCCUCCAUCAACGUUUUUCUUCCAGCUGCGAUCUCCUCCAUCAAAUUUUCCUGCUCCACUGUGUUGUGCUCUGUGAAGCUUCUCCUUCUUCAUCUUGGUUGAACUAGGUCAUAAGAAAGACAGUCGGGUUUCAGAAGCAACUCGAAUAGCUGUCCAAGAAGAAGCGGAAAGGCUGAUUUUGCAGAAAAUUCCACUCCAGAAAAAAUUGUUUGAGAUUAUGUUUAAGUAUGGCUUGAAGGGUGUGAGUGAUGAUGUGGAGAGAUGCUUGUCACUGUGUGUGGAGGAAAGAAUGCGUGGACUGAUAAGUAACCAAAUUAGAAUGUCAAAACAGAAUUUUCCUACUAGCGGGUUAAUUUUGAGAAGACAAGACAUCAGACUGUUGUCACCUCAAAUGUUUAGCCGCAAAUCAUGAUAAUAAAUAGGAAAGUAAGAGAGGAGUGGGAGAAAAGACAGGCAGAACCAGAGAAGCUUCGGAAACAAAUGACGUUGAUGGUAAUGCAUGAGUUGAUGGUGACAAGGACAAGGAUGAGGGUUGUAAUAAAUCAUCAAAAGUUUUUUAUCCCAUUCUUAUAUCUUUCCAUUAUCUACAUGGAAACUCUUUUCAUUAAUAUUUAGUAAGCUGCAUGUGAACAAGGAAGAGGAUGACAAGAUGAGGACAAAUGCAGCAAAUGUUGCUGCUAGUGCUACUGUUGGGGGAGACGACAUGCUCUCAAAAUGGCAACUUAUGACUGAGCAAGCCAGGCAGAAACGUGAAGGCACGGACACAUCAUCUGGUUCUCAACCAGCUAAAGAUGUAAGUCGCAAAUCUUCAGCAUUUGGCAAAAGUAUUAAGGAUAAUCACGAAGGAGACAAAAAAGGUUCUACUAAUUUUGCAACUUCAGGUAUUUUUUUUGCAGAGAACUCCCAAGCUGAUGAGUCAAUCAUCGUUCUUGAGGUUUGAGAAACACCAUCAUAAAAAGUUUGGAUUUAAAGUCAUUCGAAGAAAGCAUGAUGUGGACAUCUUCUAAACAUCUCCUUGUACCUCUCCUAAAUUUCAUAGAAUGACUUACCCUCUUUUUGGGAGAAUGAGUUGAUGUCAUUCCUUAAUCGGGCCAGCUUUUGGGGUGAAAAGUAUUUAGUUAGGAAUUUGCUGACUAUAUCCUCUCAUGAAGUGAUGCUACUCAAGGAUUACGAUUGGAGCCAUUGUGUGACUCUGUUCAUCAAAGUGAAGGGAAAUAAUCUCAGCCGGAUAGCUUUCGGACUAACUCCAUUACUUUUCAGAAAGUUUGUUAUGUGGAUAUUCGGAUCUUCUUGAGGCCUACCUCCAAAUUGGUCCCUCUAUACUAAUUAGAUGAGUGAAGGCUUUAGGUCAAAGAUAUUUGCUUGAACUGUGGGCCUUACUAUGUUAUCUUCAUAGCUGUAAGAGGUGGGUGUGUUGUAAUCUCCAAGGGUUCUUUUUGCACUGUUUUGAUCA